This 268-nucleotide ribosomal RNA is filed under the name uncultured soil bacterium. RNAcentral's name for it is "partial 16S ribosomal RNA". It matches the Rfam family "Bacterial small subunit ribosomal RNA", at positions 26 to 290 of the family's 1533-position model. The record is from RNAcentral.
AGGAUGAACGCUGGCGGCGUGCUUAACACAUGCAAGUCGAACGAUGAAGGCUGGAGCUUGCUCUGGCUGGAUUAGUGGCGAACGGGUGAGUAACACGUGAGUAACCUGCCCCAGACUCUGGGAUAAGCGCUGGAAACGGCGUCUAAUACCGGAUACGAGCUUCCACCGCAUGGUGAGGAGCCGGAAAGAAUUUCGGUCUGGGAUGGACUCGCGGCCUAUCAGCUUGUUGGUGAGGUAAUGGCUCACCAAGGCGACGACGGGUAGCCGG